GACGAACGCUGGCGGCGUGCUUAACACAUGCAAGUCGAACGGAAAGGCCCUGCUUUUGUGGGGUGCUCGAGUGGCGAACGGGUGAGUAACACGUGAGUAACCUGCCCUGGACUUUGGGAUAACUUCAGGAAACUGGGGCUAAUACCGGAUAGGAGCUCCUGCUGCAGGGGGGGGGUUGGAAAGUUUCGGCGGUUGGGGAUGGACUCGCGGCUUAUCAGCUUGUUGGUGGGGUAGUGGCUUACCAAGGCUUUGACGGGUAGCCGGCCUGAGAGGGUGACCGGCCACAUUGGGACUGAGAUACGGCCCAGACUCCUACGGGAGGCAGCAGUGGGGAAUAUUGCACAAUGGGCGGAAGCCUGAUGCAGCAACGCCGCGUGCGGGAUGACGGCCUUCGGGUUGUAAACCGCUUUCGCCUGUGACGAAGCGUGAGUGACGGUAAUGGGUAAAGAAGCACCGGCUAACUACGUG
RNAcentral lists this ribosomal RNA (468 nucleotides) under uncultured bacterium. RNAcentral describes it as "partial 16S ribosomal RNA". It matches the Rfam family "Bacterial small subunit ribosomal RNA", at positions 28 to 507 of the family's 1533-position model. The record is from RNAcentral.